GCNCUAGGAUGACGCUGGCGGCGUGCCUACACAUGCAAGUCGAGCGAUUUUCUUCGGAAGAGAGCGGCGGACGGGUGAGUAACGCGUGGGUAACCUGCCCUGUACACACGGAUAACAUACCGAAAGGUAUGCUAAUACGGGAUAACAUAUUUUUAUCGCAUGGUAAAAAUAUCAAAGCUCCGGCGGUACAGGAUGGACCCGCGUCUGAUUAGCUAGUUGGUAAGGUAACGGCUUACCAAGGCGACGAUCAGUAGCCGACCUGAGAGGGUGAUCGGCCACAUUGGAACUGAGACACGGUCCAAACUCCUACGGAGGCAGCAGUGGGGAAUAUUGCACCAUGGGCGAAAGCCUGAUGCAGCAACGCCGCGUGAGCGAUGAAGGCCUUCGGGUCGUAAGCUCUGUCUUCAAGGAAAAUAAUUACGGUAUUUAGGAAGAAGCCCCGGGUAAACACGUGCCCGCAACCGCGGUAAUACGUAGGGGGGUAGCGUUAUCCGGAAUUACUGGGCGUAAAGGGUGCGUAAGGGGUUUCUAAAUCAAAAAUUGAAAAGGUACGGGUCCACCCGAAAUAAAGCUUUUUUAAACUAAAAAACUUGAGUGCCGGGAAAGGAGAAGAAAAAUUCCUAAUGGUAACGGUGAAAAUGGCUAAAAAAUUAAGGAAGGAAAAACCAUUUGCGAAAGGGGGGUUCUCUUGGGAUUGGAAUCGGACACUUUAAGGACCGAAAACGUGGGGGGGCAAACAAGAUAUUAUAUAAUCCUGGGGUAGUCCCCCCCCGCAAACCAAGAGAAACUCACUGGUCGGGGGGGUACCCCCCCNCGGGGGGGGCACCUACACCUUUAAAUACUCCCCCCUGGGGAAAUACCCUCCCCAGAGGGGAACACCUCAAGGAAUUUGCGGGGGACCCCCCCCACUUGCCGAGGCCUGGUGGGGUUAUUUUUAAACA
This 941-nucleotide ribosomal RNA is filed under the name uncultured Clostridium sp. Its description in RNAcentral is "partial 16S ribosomal RNA". It matches the Rfam family "Bacterial small subunit ribosomal RNA", at positions 21 to 958 of the family's 1533-position model. The record is from RNAcentral. Lineage: Bacteria; Bacillati; Bacillota; Clostridia; Eubacteriales; Clostridiaceae.